GGGGUAGUAAAGGUUUCGACGGGGGUUAUGAAGCUGGAGAAGCUAUCCGCAGGCUGAUGCGUCAAAUCGCAAAUUAAAAAUAAACGCUGAAGAUAAUUUAGCACUCGCUGCUUAAUUGCAGCUGUCCGCUUCCGGGCACCCGCACCCGGAAAUCCGGGCAUCGAUGAUGCGGGAAACGACAUAUGUUAAGCUUUGCGCAUAUGGGCGUAUCAUGAAGCUACUGAAAACAGGAGGCCGUCCGCUGCCGCCUGCCGGAGGGAAUGUCAAACAGCUGACUAUGAUAGUAGAAGGACAGUGAAUUGGCUUUCGGACACGAGUUCGAUUCUCGUCUACUCCA
This 337-nucleotide transfer-messenger RNA is filed under the name bovine gut metagenome. It matches the Rfam family "transfer-messenger RNA". From Rfam's summary of the family: Bacterial tmRNA, also known as 10Sa RNA or SsrA, is named for its dual tRNA and mRNA-like properties. The record is from RNAcentral.